This 558-nucleotide ribosomal RNA is filed under the name Pediculus humanus (human louse). Its description in RNAcentral is "partial 12S ribosomal RNA". Lineage: Eukaryota; Metazoa; Arthropoda; Insecta; Psocodea; Pediculidae. The record is from RNAcentral.
UAAAGACAAAUAAAUUGGUUAAAACUAAUAAAUAGUUAUAAUAAAAGUACAACAACUCUACUUAUUGAAGUAAGAGUAAAAUCUUUACAAAUAAGAUAGAAAUGUGUUAAUGUAACAUUAAUCCUCUUACGAGGCGCUAGCAUAAAGACUAGGAUUAGAUACCCUAUUAUGGGCGUGAAUAAAUGAGUUUAUUAAGUUAAUAGCCUUAAUAUAAAGCAAAACCUAUUUACUAUGGCGGCUGUUAGUCUCACCAGAGUCGUAUGUCCUUAAACGAAACUGCGCGAUUAUCUUACCUUUUAACUUUUGCUUAUGUAAAAUAAUUACAUUACAGCAAUCUGGCACGUCGCUGUACUAAAAGUGAAGAUUUUAAAUAACUCAUCUUCUAAUUACUUAUUAACAUUUAUUAAUAACGUACAAGUCAAGACGCCGUUUUAAGAGGUUAAGAUGUACGAUUUAAUUGAUUUGAUAAAAUUGAUAAGAAUGAAAACUUUCUUUAUUAAAAUAAUUUGGAAGUAAAAUAAGGUUAUUAUUCUUAUUUGAAAUGAGCUACUAAUAAGU